RNAcentral lists this ribosomal RNA (305 nucleotides) under uncultured bacterium. RNAcentral describes it as "bacterial SSU rRNA". It matches the Rfam family "Bacterial small subunit ribosomal RNA", at positions 334 to 655 of the family's 1533-position model. The record is from RNAcentral.
UGAUCCUACGGGGGGCAGCAGUGGGGAAUAUUGCACAAUGGGGGAAACCCUGAUGCAGCAACGCCGCGUGAAGGAAGACGGUUUUCGGAUUGUAAACUUCUGUUCUUAGUGAAGAAGAAUGACGGUAGCUAAGGAGCAAGCCACGGCUAACUACGUGCCAGCAGCCGCGGUAAUACGUAGGGGGCAAGCGUUAUCCGGAUUUACUGGGUGUAAAGGGAGCGUAGACGGCUGCGCAAGUCAGAAGUGAAAGCCCGGGGCUCAACCGCGGGACUGCUUUUGAAACUGUGUAGCUAGAGUGCAGGAGG